This 1076-nucleotide ribosomal RNA is filed under the name Savoryella yunnanensis. Its description in RNAcentral is "SSU rRNA". It matches the Rfam family "Eukaryotic small subunit ribosomal RNA", at positions 56 to 1150 of the family's 1831-position model. Lineage: Eukaryota; Fungi; Ascomycota; Sordariomycetes; Savoryellales; Savoryellaceae. The record is from RNAcentral.
CGUCUACGUAUAAGCAAUACGAGAGUGAAACUGCGAACGGCUCCAUUAUAUAAGUUAUCGUUUAUUUCGAUAGUGCCUAUCCUACACGGAUAACAGUGGUAAUUCUAGAGYUAAUACGUGCCAACUCGCCCCGACUUCGGAAGGGGCGUGUUUGUCAGAAUCAGAACCAAUCGCCCUUAACGGGGCUCCCUGGUGGCUCAUGACAACCCUACAGAGCGCAUGGCCUCGCGCCGGCGCCGGCUCAUUCAAAUUUCUUCCCUAUCAACUUUCGACGGUACGGUCUUGGCCUACCGUGGUUACAACGGGUAACGGAGGGUUAGGGCUCGACCCCGGAGAGGGAGCCUGAGAAACGGCUACCACAUCCAAGGAAGGCAGCAGCCGCGCAAAUUAUCCAAUCCCGACUCGGGGAGAUAGUGACAAUAAAUACCGAUACAGGGCUCUUUUGGGCCCCGUAAUUGGAAUGAGUACAAUUUAAACCUCUUAACGAGGAACAAUUGGAGGGCAAGUCUGGUGCCAGCAGCCGCGGUAAUUCCAGCUCCAAUAGCGUAUAUUAAAGUUGUUGUGGUUAAAAAGCUCGUAGUCGAACCUCGGGCUCGGCCGGCCGGUCCGCCUCACCGCGUGCACUGGCCCGGCCGGGCUCUUCUCCCUGCGGAGCCGCAUGCCCUUCACUGGGCGUGCCGGGGAAGCAGGACUUUUACUUUGAAAAAAUUAGAGUGCUCAAGGCAGGCCAAUGCUCGGAUACAUUAGCAUGGAAUAAUGGAAUAGGACGUUGGUUCUAUUUUGUUGGUUUCUAGGACCGCCGUAAUGAUCAAUAGGGACGGUCGGGGGCGUCAGUAUUCAGCCGCGAGAGGUGAAAUUCUUAGACCGGCUGAAGACUAACUACUGCGAAAGCWUYCGCCAAGGACGUUUUCGCUGAUCAGGAACGAAAGUUAGGGGAUCGAAGACGAUCAGAUACCGUCGUAGUCUUAACCAUAAACGGUGCCGACUUGGGAUCGGGCGCUGCUGAAUCUACGGCGCGCUCGGCACCAUUCGAGAAAUCAAAGUGCGUGGGCUCCAGGGGGAGUAGCGCACGAUUA